AUACGGAGGGUGCAAGCGUUACUCGGAAUCACUGGGCGUAAAGCGCGCGCAGGCGGCUUGAUAAGUUGGAUGUGAUAGCCUACGGCUCAACCGUAGAACUGCAUCCAAAACUGUCAGGCUAGAGUGUGGGAGAGGAAGAUGGAAUUAGUUGUGUAGGGGUAAAAUCCGUAGAGAUAACUAGGAAUACCAAAAGCGAAGGCAAUCUUCUGGAACACUACUGACGCUGAGGCGCGAAGGCGUGGGGAGCAAACAGGAUUAGAAACCCGAGUAGUCC
This 274-nucleotide ribosomal RNA is filed under the name uncultured bacterium. RNAcentral's name for it is "partial 16S ribosomal RNA". It matches the Rfam family "Bacterial small subunit ribosomal RNA", at positions 523 to 796 of the family's 1533-position model. The record is from RNAcentral.